GGAUCCGAAACAAUUAGGUCGGACUUUUAGAUCAUCCAUCUCCUAAAAUGGAUCUUAUAUAUUAUUUUGCAAAACCCUAGCAACCUUCAUCUGCAUUCUUUCUCAUCUCCAUUAACGAUUCAGCAGCAGGUUUUGCAAAACCCUAGACACAACCUUCACUUGCAUUCUCUCUUAUCUCUAUUCCUGAUUCAAGCCGUUCGAACGAUUCAGCAUCAGGUCCCCAAAGGAUGGGAUAAGCUUUCACUGUCCCUUAUAUCUGUAGAAACGGGAAAAGCAAUUGCCAAAACAGGUAGAUCAUUGGUACAAAAUGGUAAUUAUCAGUGGACUGAGAAUCUGUUAGUGUACAUUUGGGUUCCUCAUGAUGAUGCUUCAACAGGGCACGGGCAAAGCCUGCAUAAGCUUCUUAUUUUAAUGGGGUCCGGUAGAUCAGGCAUCCUUGGAGAAGUUACAGUAAAUUUGUCAAGUCACUUGAGUUCUGGGACUUCUACUACUGUUGCGGAACCACUAAAAAACUGUAGUCAUGAGACAAUCUUACAAUGGAAAUUCGGUGCCUAACACCAAGAGCAAAUAUGAGAAACGACAGAUGGACAGGCACUGAUUCUUUUGUAGAAGAUGCACAUUGAUUUGUUUUCUUGUGUUGGAUGUGCGCUUUUUUUGCGCAUUGAGUGAAGUUAAUGCUCUAAUUUUCUAUGUUUAUCCAGUUCUCAACAUUGGUUUUGAAAAGAAGGCCCUCCUAUAUGUAUAUUUAGUCUAGCAUUUUUUAAUGUUUUUUAUGUUAAUUAGUUGAUUUUUCUCUAAUUGAUAGGUUUUGAGGUGAUGCAGCAAGUGAACAACCAAGUGAAACAACUUCCUAUUCCUGUGUCGUCUAAUAUUAUGCAACAAGGAUGACAAAUGAUGUGAUAUGGAUUUGAAGUUGUUUUGUUCAGUGAUGGUGUUGUUAGGGUUGACGGUGAGUCGAUGACAAGGAGAAGAUGUAAGAGGUUUUGGACUACGUGGCUCAGAUCUUGUCUUCGUCUUUAUGAUAAGGUUGGGUACUUUUGAAGAUCAUGAACCAUUAAGGGGAAACAAGCACCUCCACUAUGCAAAGAGAAUGAUAGAAUCAAACAGUUGCAAAUUUAUCAUGAACAAUAAUGCAGAGGGAAGGUUUAACUUUCCAUCAAAUGUUCUGAGGUGAUGCAACAAGUGAACAACUUCCUAUUCUUGUGCUGUCUAAUAAUAUGCAACAAGGAUGACAUACUCAAAAUGUUUAUGUUAAAAGUCGGGAUUUUAAGCACAUUGGAUGAAUCAGAUUUACAUACAAUACAUGAAAGAACAAAGCAAAAGACAUAUAAAAGGGACAACUUUUUAUGAAGGCCGGUAUAUGACAAAAAUGGUUUUUAUUGUAUCUAAGAAAAUGGAGAACAUACGAGAAGAUGAAAAUAUAGUUAGACUGUAUGAGGAUCUAAGGGCCAUGUAUGCGGCGAACAACUUCUCAAAUGGUUUAUGCUUUUCUUAAGAUAUAUUUUGGUGUUGUUCAUGGUUGGACAGUGAGGUACAAGGAUUACAAUGAACGUGUUGUUAAAGGUGCAACAGAAGCGUUUCCUAUAUAGCUUUGUAUGCAGCAUGCAACUCUUCAUUAUGAUUCUUUGAUAAGUUCUGAGUUGUUGUUUUAAUGUUGCAUGUGGAAAAAAAAUACAAAAGAGUUUUGUUUUAUUAAAAAGUCAUAUAGACUAUCAAGCUUUAAAUCUAUUAUGAUAAUUAUCAA
Molecule: long non-coding RNA, 1744 nt
Organism: Helianthus annuus (common sunflower)
Lineage: Eukaryota; Viridiplantae; Streptophyta; Magnoliopsida; Asterales; Asteraceae
Exons: 11
Source: RefSeq, a predicted model, not a curated record